GCCCAUGUGUCAAACACAAGGCCCGCGGGCCAAAUGUGGCCCGCCACGUCCUUUUAUGUGGCCCGCGAGAGCUUGUAAGAUCUUAGUGUCUAUAAUAAAUAGGUCAGAAGCGUUCUUUGACCAAAAACUACAUUUCCCACAAUGCUUGUCNNNNNNNNNNNNNNNNNNNNNNNNNNNNNNNNAACUCGAGGCCUCAUGGACGCCGCAGGCCUCGGGGUAAGCGUUCUAAGGGGUCCCGCCAGCUGGAAGAAGACCCCUUUUCUGGGGAGGAUUUUCUUGGGGGGGCGAUGAGGGUUGGUGCUUUGAGCCUCGGUGGGACUUUCUCGGGUGCGCUCCCAGCAGCUCCGAGGACGAGGAGGAGCUCUACCCCGCACCGGCCCGUGCUCCGUUACCGUUCCCCCCAGGGGCGGUGCUCUACCCGGCUCUCGGCCGCACAGCUCCUGAGGCCGUCCCGACUCGUGUCCAUCAGCCUCCCAAGGCGCGCUCCGUACCGGCGCCUCCAAAGCUAGCUCCUCCGGCUGCCAAGACUCUGUCCUCACUGGCGCUUCCAGAGCUAGCUUCUCCAGUGGCUAAGGCGCUAGCAUCCCCGGCGCCUCUCAAGCUAGCGUCUUCAGCGGAGAACAGAUCAGUUAGCGUUUUCCCCUUUUUCUUCACCGGAGACCGAACAUAAACCUUGGAAACCGACGCUGACCGCUUCUUAGGUGAGUACAUAUUCCCUAGAUUCCAAAAAAUGUGCGGAUUGUAAGGAUCUCUUCAAGUUGAUAAAAGAAAGAAAAGUUGGGAGAUGGAGCUGCUCCCUUAUGCGGCCAUGGUUUCCCGCUCGCCGGAAGUCCCCUGUUAAAAUGUUUUUUAAAAUUGUCUGGGUUGUAGAUAAGGCCUAAAUAGCUAAAUAUUAAAAUUUAAGAAAAUGUGUUUAAAAUGUGUUUGAAUUGUCUGAAUUGAAAAAUAAGGCCAAAAUAGCAAAAGAAUUACAUUAAAAAAAUGUUUUAAAAAUGUCUGUACUGGAGAUAAGG
This 1013-nucleotide long non-coding RNA is filed under the name Astyanax mexicanus (Mexican tetra). RNAcentral describes it as "lncRNA (ENSAMXG00005009292.1)". The record is from RNAcentral. Lineage: Eukaryota; Metazoa; Chordata; Actinopteri; Characiformes; Acestrorhamphidae.